This 254-nucleotide ribosomal RNA is filed under the name uncultured bacterium. RNAcentral describes it as "partial 16S ribosomal RNA". It matches the Rfam family "Archaeal small subunit ribosomal RNA", at positions 474 to 727 of the family's 1478-position model. The record is from RNAcentral.
UACCAGCACCCCGAGUGGUCGGGACGUUUUAUUGGGCCUAAAGCAUCCGUAGCCGGUUCUACAAGUCUUCCGUUAAAUCCAACUGCUUAACAGGUGGGCUGCGGAAGAUACUAUAGAGCUAGGAGGCGGGAGAGGCAAGCGGUACUCGAUGGGUAGGGGUAAAAUCCGUUGAUCCAUUGAAGACCACCAGUGGCAAAGGCGGCUUGCCAGAACGCGCUCGACGGUGAGGGAUGAAAGCUGGGGGAGCAAACCGG